GAAAUUUUCAUGAAUGACAUAGUAAAUAAGGUGAUGAAAUAAAAAAAAAAAAAAAAAAGGCCAAAUAAAAUUUUCAUGAAUGACAUAGUAAAUAAGGUGAUGAAAAAAAAAAAAAAAAAAAAAAAGGCCAAAUACAUUGCUAGCCCUUUAGAGUUAUUUUUCACUUAGACACUCCAUUUUGAGUUUUUUUUUCUUCAAUUGAAUACUCCAACCACAUCCCAAAUGUGUCAUUUAGACACGAUUUGAUGAUUUGGUAUAGUGCGUGCAUUACACCAUUAUUUGGUGUAUUUAGUAUGUCUUGUUCGAUUCCAGAAGACCUUGAUAGCUUGUUAUGGUGGGUGUAAUUUCUGGCAAUCUGGGAUUAAUCCUCUGUGACGAAGAAUUUAUUAGAAUUUCUAUCUUAUGCAUGUUCUUAAUAUUGUAGAGGGUUGACGGUGGAGAUUAGGAAGAAUAAGAGUGGUGGCAGAAGAGUGGAUUUGUACCUCUGUUCUUUCUUUUGGAAGAAGAAAACGGAAGGAAGGAGGGAAGG
Molecule: long non-coding RNA, 529 nt
Filed under: Nicotiana benthamiana
Lineage: Eukaryota; Viridiplantae; Streptophyta; Magnoliopsida; Solanales; Solanaceae
Description: long non-coding RNA (NBEN_LNC023763)
Source: RNAcentral